Cygnus olor (mute swan) is the source of this 684-nucleotide long non-coding RNA. RefSeq lists it as uncharacterized. The record is from RefSeq and is a predicted model, not a curated record. Lineage: Eukaryota; Metazoa; Chordata; Aves; Anseriformes; Anatidae. The transcript is spliced from 2 exons.
GCAAUCGGUCAGCAUUGCAUCUUAUGGCGUGCAGCCAGAGCAGGUUCCGGAGGGGAAAUGGCCCAAGCCCAUCGCAUCGCCCCGGUGGCACACUCACAGUGCUUCUCACACAGCCCCCAGAUGAGUCAGCCCAGCAAGGUCACCCUAAAACUGUUGCACAGCUCCCAUCACAUCUCACACAAAGCCAGUCCUCUCCUCGCGUUGGCUUGGCAGAGCGGGACGAAGCUGUCCUCCUUCCCAGGCCAUGCAGCGAGCAGCGGUGCUACAGAGGCUGCAGGGAGGGCACGGGGCAAGAGGCAGCUACGUGGCACUGCCAGAACAGUCACGUGAAGGCAGGAGCACCGAAAUGGGUACCGUUCUGCCGGGAUAUUGAGAGAAAACCAGAGGCAGCACGCAUAAAUGGGAGUAGCAGACAUCCAUACAUACCCAGAAACGAUACUGUGAUGAGGAAAAGUCUAAGAUCCUUUUUGGACUAAGUACUGACUGGUGAAAGAGCCUACCAUAUGACUCAAAGGAAAAAUAUCAUGAAGUUAUUACUGCUAUUAAACAGAAGCUCUUAUUCCGUCAUUCCCUAUUAGUAAUAAGAGUAAAAAGAUUUGCUCUGAUACAUACUUUAACAUGUUCAUCAAAAUUCCUGUAGUCAUUUUCAAUUAAAAGUUAACUUCUCAUCAUUUUUUUCAACCC